This 253-nucleotide ribosomal RNA is filed under the name uncultured bacterium. RNAcentral describes it as "partial 16S ribosomal RNA". It matches the Rfam family "Bacterial small subunit ribosomal RNA", at positions 524 to 776 of the family's 1533-position model. The record is from RNAcentral.
UACGUAGGGUGCGAGCGUUGUCCGGAAUUAUUGGGCGUAAAGAGCUCGUAGGUGGUUUGUUACGUCUGCUGUGAAAACCUAGGGCUUAACCCUGGGCCUGCAGUGGAUACGGGCAGACUAGAGGUAGGUAGGGGAGAAUGGAAUUCCCGGUGUAGCGGUGAAAUGCGCAGAUAUCGGGAGGAACACCGGUGGCGAAGGCGGCUCUCUGGGCCUUACCUGACACUGAGGAGCGAAAGCGUGGGGAGCGAACAGG